CUUCCCCCUUCGGGGGCAAAGUGACAGGUGGGGCAUGGUUGUUGUCAGCUCGUGUCGUGAGAUGUUGGUUAAGUCCCGCAACGAGCGCAACCCUUAUUGUUAGUUGCCAUCAUUCAGUUGGGCACUCUAGCAAGACUGCCGGUGACAAACCGGAGGAAGGUGGGGAUGACGUCAAAUCAUCAUGCCCCUUAUGACCUGGGCUACACACGUGCUACAAUGGGAAGUACAACGAGUUGCGAAGUCGCGAGGCUAAGCUAAUCUCUUAAAGCUUCUCUCAGUUCGGAUUGCAGGCUGCAACUCGCCUGCAUGAAGCCGGAAUCGCUAGUAAUCGCGGAUCAGCACGCCGCGGUGAAUACGUUCCCGGGCCUUGUACACACCGCCCGUCACACCACGAGAGUUUGUAACACCCGAAGUCGGUGAGGUAACCUUUUGGAGCCAGCCGC
This 443-nucleotide ribosomal RNA is filed under the name Enterococcus faecium. RNAcentral's name for it is "bacterial SSU rRNA". It matches the Rfam family "Bacterial small subunit ribosomal RNA", at positions 1011 to 1456 of the family's 1533-position model. Lineage: Bacteria; Bacillati; Bacillota; Bacilli; Lactobacillales; Enterococcaceae. The record is from RNAcentral.